This 1528-nucleotide ribosomal RNA is filed under the name Enterobacter sp. BIDMC 26. RNAcentral's name for it is "bacterial SSU rRNA". It matches the Rfam family "Bacterial small subunit ribosomal RNA". The record is from RNAcentral. Lineage: Bacteria; Pseudomonadati; Pseudomonadota; Gammaproteobacteria; Enterobacterales; Enterobacteriaceae.
AGAGUUUGAUCAUGGCUCAGAUUGAACGCUGGCGGCAGGCCUAACACAUGCAAGUCGAACGGUAGCACAGAGAGCUUGCUCUCGGGUGACGAGUGGCGGACGGGUGAGUAAUGUCUGGGAAACUGCCUGAUGGAGGGGGAUAACUACUGGAAACGGUAGCUAAUACCGCAUAACGUCGCAAGACCAAAGAGGGGGACCUUCGGGCCUCUUGCCAUCAGAUGUGCCCAGAUGGGAUUAGCUAGUAGGUGGGGUAAUGGCUCACCUAGGCGACGAUCCCUAGCUGGUCUGAGAGGAUGACCAGCCACACUGGAACUGAGACACGGUCCAGACUCCUACGGGAGGCAGCAGUGGGGAAUAUUGCACAAUGGGCGCAAGCCUGAUGCAGCCAUGCCGCGUGUAUGAAGAAGGCCUUCGGGUUGUAAAGUACUUUCAGCGGGGAGGAAGGUGUUGUGGUUAAUAACCACAGCAAUUGACGUUACCCGCAGAAGAAGCACCGGCUAACUCCGUGCCAGCAGCCGCGGUAAUACGGAGGGUGCAAGCGUUAAUCGGAAUUACUGGGCGUAAAGCGCACGCAGGCGGUCUGUCAAGUCGGAUGUGAAAUCCCCGGGCUCAACCUGGGAACUGCAUUCGAAACUGGCAGGCUAGAGUCUUGUAGAGGGGGGUAGAAUUCCAGGUGUAGCGGUGAAAUGCGUAGAGAUCUGGAGGAAUACCGGUGGCGAAGGCGGCCCCCUGGACAAAGACUGACGCUCAGGUGCGAAAGCGUGGGGAGCAAACAGGAUUAGAUACCCUGGUAGUCCACGCCGUAAACGAUGUCGACUUGGAGGUUGUGCCCUUGAGGCGUGGCUUCCGGAGCUAACGCGUUAAGUCGACCGCCUGGGGAGUACGGCCGCAAGGUUAAAACUCAAAUGAAUUGACGGGGGCCCGCACAAGCGGUGGAGCAUGUGGUUUAAUUCGAUGCAACGCGAAGAACCUUACCUACUCUUGACAUCCAGAGAACUUUCCAGAGAUGGAUUGGUGCCUUCGGGAACUCUGAGACAGGUGCUGCAUGGCUGUCGUCAGCUCGUGUUGUGAAAUGUUGGGUUAAGUCCCGCAACGAGCGCAACCCUUAUCCUUUGUUGCCAGCGGUCCGGCCGGGAACUCAAAGGAGACUGCCAGUGAUAAACUGGAGGAAGGUGGGGAUGACGUCAAGUCAUCAUGGCCCUUACGAGUAGGGCUACACACGUGCUACAAUGGCGCAUACAAAGAGAAGCGAACUCGCGAGAGCAAGCGGACCUCAUAAAGUGCGUCGUAGUCCGGAUUGGAGUCUGCAACUCGACUCCAUGAAGUCGGAAUCGCUAGUAAUCGUAGAUCAGAAUGCUACGGUGAAUACGUUCCCGGGCCUUGUACACACCGCCCGUCACACCAUGGGAGUGGGUUGCAAAAGAAGUAGGUAGCUUAACCUUCGGGAGGGCGCUUACCACUUUGUGAUUCAUGACUGGGGUGAAGUCGUAACAAGGUAACCGUAGGGGAACCUGCGGUUGGAUCACCU